UGUUUGCAGUGUCGUUGUUUGAAGUAACAACAAAGUAAAAUAGAGGUGAGAAAUUACCGGUGGGUGAUAGUAAUUGCAACCAUUCGAGAAUUUACCACUCGGACUCGAUGUAGGGAAUGUGAGAUAUCUUAUGCCAGUCUUCUCCUUCCCCCUCUCUAUAACGGUUUUCCAGAAGAGGACAUCUGUGAAUAAUCAAUUCCUGCAGCGUCGUCGUCCGAAGAAGGUAAUCCGGCAGCACCUUUAAUUUGGGGCAAUACCCAAUUUCCAAGGAAGAAAGACGUGGUAUGUCUGUUGUCUUGCGAUCUUCUAGAAUGGGCAGUUCUUCUAGAAGAUCACAAAAAUAAAUACGCAGUUCCUGCAGUGCCGUCGAUUGAAGAAGGUAAUCCGGCAGCGCCUUCAAUUUGGGGCAACCUCUAAUCCACAAGGAAGAAAGACGGGGCAUGAUGGAGAUGUUUUCCUUCCUCGUAAUCCUGUAAUUCCACUCUUCCAACUCUUCCAUUCCCCCAAUGUCGAGUGAUUUUAAUUUGGGAAAGGCAGUAACUGAUGAUGACGAUGAAGAUGAAGAUGGGUCAUCCUCACUGCUUUCUUCUAUUCCCAAAAACUCAUUACCCACUCUUUUUACACUUUUCAAAAUGUAUAGUUGGAGUUUUUCCAGAGGUAAUUUUCCCAAAGGAGGCAAAUGCUCACAGUUAAAACAAAACCAAAGAUUUAAUUCCCUUAGAUAGGUUAGUGAAGUCAACCAUUUGGGAAAAAUGUCGCCUCCGUAGAAACAAAUCUGUAAUUCCUCUACAUUCAAAUGCGGUUGUAAAGCUUCAAGAAGUUGUUUAUCUUUCUCAUUCUUCCUCCUCCCUUCUUCGCCUUCCCCAUCUACGACUCCAUCAAACACAAGAUGCAAACGAAGGAGGUUUUCCAUAUUGUGAAGUCCUAUUCUCUCAGCCUCAUCUAAAUGUGAUACAUUACUCAGCCCUUCUAUUCCACAUUUACGAAGGAGUUGAAGAUUUUUCAGAGAUUCAAGCCUACACGUGCUGCCGCCAUCAACACCUCCACCCACAACAAACUUUUCUAAUGUUCGAAGACUGGUUAAUUUGGAAAUCCCUAUUGGCAUGUACUUCAAUGAAUAAGUUUGACCAUUCAGUAAACUCCUCAUGUUCAUUAACUUCCCAAUCCCCGCUGGCAAUUCUCUAAGAUUUGGGCACCGCCUAAUAUCUAGCUUUCGUAAAUUAUAUAAUUCACACAAAGUCUCAGGCAGUCUCUCUAUACAUAAUUCAGAUAAAUUAAGAUAUUUUAAAUGUAUCAAUUUUCCAAUAUUUUCUGGAAUUUCUCUAAUGAAAUUUGGGCUAGGAUGAGAAAAUGAGGACAACUGUCUUAUAACUAAUGCCCUUAAACACGCCAAUUUACUAAAUAACCCCGGAAGGAUGCUACUACGAAGAGACGGACCUUUAUCAUAAAUUAAGAGGGUCCGCAAUCUAUUAAGUCCAUAAAUGGACAUAGGAAGUGGAGCGCCUCCUUCAAAAUUUAAUCCUAGGUGACAGACUUUGUCACCAAAAGAAUUUAUGACUGACUCUUUGUUACCAUCAAUUUCUAGCCACAAACAUUCUUUUCUACUUACAAAUUGGGCAAAAUCAUGUACUAUGUCAUGCAUUUUACACCUCAUAAACUCAUUAUCGCCACCGUAUGUUUCAAACUCUUGAAAGAAAGAGUGUGUUGCUAAGAUGUUGAAAUACUCUUCUCCAACCAUCUCCAUUUCUUCGUCUUCUUCUGCAUUAAGGUAACCUUGAGCCAUCCACAUAUCAAUCAAUUCCUUUUUAUGCAUAUAGUGGUCUUUUGGAAAGACAGCACAAUAUGAGAAACAUUGUUUUACCAUAGAAUUAGAGGGCAAAUCGUUAUAACUCAACAACAAAGGAGCCAAAAGACCUUUCCUAAUCUCUUCUACCUUCCACAUUUCACUCUCUAAAAUUCUUUGCCACUCUUUUACUGUACAUUUAGAGCGCAAGAGAUUCCCUAUUACCUUUACAGCAAGAGGCAGGCCUUUGCACUUGCGUGCAAUUUUUCGUCCGAUUGGUUCUAAUUUUUCACAAUCCUCGAAAGAGCGACCGAAAAAUGCCAACCGCUUGAACAACAACCAGCAUUCCUCUUCAGCUAGUUGUUCAAUGGAGAUAAUAUCUAACUCUAUUGUUCGCAUCAUACGUGCAACUGACUCAUUACGUGUGGUAACCACAAUUUUACUUCCAGGAAGACCAUUCUUUAGACAAAAGAAGAAUUGAUCCCAUAUAUUAUAAUUCCCAUCCCAUACAUCAUCUAAGACAAUAAAAAUUUUUUUUCCUUCAAUUGAUCUAUGGAUAUGGCUCAUAAGAGAUUGGAAUUCGCUUAAACCAGAAGCUUCUUUUGACUCGCCUAGUCCUUCAAUAAUUGCUUUGGCGACCCUCAUCUCAUCAAAAGUGUCUGAUACACACACCCAUAUAACUUUUUCAAAAUUUAUUUUCACCCCAUCAUUAUUAUAGGCUAGUUGUGCAAGAGUGGUUUUACCUAUACCCCCUAACCCAACCAGUGAGAUGAUAUGAGGAUGUUGUUCGCCACUCUCACCCAACAACUUACCUAACAGCUCAUUUUUCUCGUCAUCUCUACCAAAAAUCUCUCCCUCAUCAAUCAAGGAGGUGGUUGGCACUCGCUCUGAUUUCUUAACAUUGUUACUCACAUUCUCAACAAAUUUAAACAUAUCUUUUCGAGUGGCAAUACCAUCUAGCUUUUCACUGAUUUCGCUAAUCUUGACAGCAACAUCAUCACGAAGAAUGAGUUGUUUGAAACCACCUAAGUAGUUUGAGGCAGCACGAAAGAAGGAACAUACCUUCUUCUUAGGAGGAGCAAGAGCAAGAGCAUCGUCAUCAUCGCCGCCCUCAUCAAGCUGCAAUUUCCGUGUUUCAGUGAUCCACUCUUCCAACACAUCUUCCAUGUCGUAGGAUGCGUCUCUGAGCUGAUCCAGCCAAAGAGUAACAGCUUUGUCCUGCUUCAUUUGCCUCUGCUCUGCAUCUUACAGUACAGCUUGAAUGACUUGAAGAUUGGUAGUAAGCUUUCCCACUUCUUGUUCGACACCCGUCACAAGCCUCCACUUUUCUUUCACCUGAUCUUGAGCAAUGGAUUUCAGCUGGUCCAGGAGAGAGGAAACGAUCGCAUGAGCCAUUCAGAGGAAAGUAGGUUUUAUGUAUUCUGUGAGAAUGUUCAUUCAAGCAUGUUUGCAUUCUUCUUAUACCAUAUGAGAUAUUUAAUUUUUACCCUCGAGUCAAUGUCAAUAAUUGUACAGCGUCUGCCCUGUUUCUCUGAUUCAUAAUAAUUCAUUGUUAAUUCUGCAGAGUACACAGCGUCAGCACUUGUGAAAUUUCUUACAUUUGUAAAAUCAUGCAGCCGACCCUUGUGAACUAACUAAUUAACUAAAUUUUCUUACAUUGUCAAUAAGUUAUGAUUAUUGUGAAUUUUCCAUCCCCUAUAUAAAUUCUUAGAUUUAUUUAAAUUGUGAGUCAUAGAAGUAUAUUACCUAAAUUAUUUUAUCAGGCCAUGUUCCGAUACUAGGAGUAAGUACGGAAUUGGACUAAUUUUGUGAUUAUCUAUUUAUCUCAUAUUUGAUAAGCUUAAUUGAAUUGGAUUUAGGAACCAAAUUUAAAUUUAAUCCUAAAAUUAUGGAAUUGAUAAUCCUAAUUUACGCAUAACUUUAGUUGGGAUAAAAUUAAAGAAAAAAAGUUAUCCAUUUAUGAGACUUUAAUUUAUAUCAUUAUCGUUUAUUUAUGCUUAAUAUUUAUUUAUUUUUUUUAAUUUAUGAUUUACUUAAAAUUUAUUUUUAUUUAUUAUCUAUCAUCUGAUUAAAUUAGAACUUUACUUCUACUAACUCUUGAUAUUAAUUUUUCAUUACUUGCAUAUUUGAUAAUUUGUCAAUAAAAUUAACCAUUUAAUAAUUUAUUGCAUAAUAGAUUGUAUUAAACUUACUAAUCACUAAAAAAAUAUUUAAAAUCAUCAUGAAAAUUAAUAAUACCGUCAAUUAAUUGAUUUUAUAUACUUUUUUAAAUAUUUGAUAAAAAAUAAUUAAGUAUUUAAAUUUUUAUUUCAUUUUUUUAUUUGUUUAUUUUAUUAUGGAUACCCAAUAACUUGCAAUAUAAUUAAUUUUCUUAUUCAGACUACUCAGCAUCAGCUCCUAUAAAAUUUCUUACAUUAUAAGCAACAAAAUAUUUAUAAACUACAACAAAGGGCUUAAAUCAAUCCACCGAUUAACCUUUUGAAGUUAUAUAUAAUAUAUUAACUGUUGAUCUAGAAUAGUCUUAGUGGAUAGAUUUUUUUUAAUUAUAAAUAUCAAUAAAUUUUUUUUAUCGUUUAAUAGAUAUUGAUGAAAUUAUAUGGAGUAAUUUCGCCCAAUCAUAUAUAUUAUAACAAAAGUUGGAAAAGAGAAAAAUAAAACAAAAGUUGGAAAAAUCAUGCAGUCGUUGGGAAUUUCGAAAUUUGAGAAUUUUGCCCGUAGCUACAGGCUGCAGCGAUUUUUGACUUUCAUGAUGCAAACAAACCAAUCAUCAUUAAUUUCAAUAGAAAGAAGUAUUCUAGGUGGAAUUGAUUUCUGGAGCAGAAUAUGAUGUAUUUGGGACUUCCUACUCUAUUAGAUAGGUUAAUAACAUGUUAAUUGUCACAUCAUUAAUUUUAGAUUAUAAAUUUUAUAUUCAAACUUUGUAUGACUGCUCCUUUUUCAUUUGAAAAAAAAAAAAAAAAUUAACUUCUAGCAUGAUCUAAUUAAUUGAUCUUGUUUCAAAAGAAUCAAAAAAAUAAAUAAAAUAAAAUAAAGUAAUGCCAUAAUCUAAUUGGUCUUGUUAUUGACAUGUACUAAUGCAUUCUAUAUUUCUAACUUUGUACAUUUUAUUGAUAUGUUUCUCUUGAGAGAUAAGAAUCAUUAUGUGGCAAAAUUUUAUUAAAGCUGGGAUUAUUUAUGUUCUAAUACUUUGAACAUUAAUUUUUAAUCUACUCUUUAGAAUACAAAAAUAAUCCUUACCUAAACAUCUUUCAUAAAUGUUUUUUGCUGGGGCUGCUAAAAUUCAUAAUCUAAUAUUAGUUGAUGUGGCAUGUGUCCUAUCACAUAAAUGUAGAUAAUAAUAAUUAAUUCAUUAACAAAAUGAAAAAUGUUAGUUUACAAAAUACAAAUCCGAAUUUUUUGUGUGUUAGAGGGAAUUUAAAAGGGAGAGACUAAACAAAUGUGGUGACAAAUUACACGUAUUACCAAAAUUGAAAAUACAAAGUUUAGGCAACUGGAAACAUCUCUGUCAAUGGCAAUGAACCCAUUACCUCCAUUUAUAAUUAACCAAAAAUCAAAUAAAUUAAAAAAGAAAACACAAAGCAAGGAUAACUACUAGUUGUUUUGAUCAUCCCUGCUUCUUUUUCUUAGCAUAGCUCUUGUAAUGAAAAUUAACAAAAAGGGCCAAAAGGGAAGCAUUAAACACAGUAUUGAAGCACCAACCCCAAAACACAGGGAAACCAAAUCCCGUGAAAUGAUAAUUCAGCAUCAAAAUGAAAAAUGUUAUGGAUGGCUGUGAUGGGUCUGAGGAUGUGGGGUCCAAUGAGAGGUGAUGAUGAUGGUGAUGUUGAUGUUGAUGUGUGGUAGAGGAUGGAUGUGAGGGAGAGGUAAGUAAUGAUGGAGUGAAUGAGGAUGCGUGGGAAGGAAGCUAGGGUUUGGUUUUGAGUCCAUGUGAAGUUGAGGACUUGUGGGUGGCUUACAAGCAAUAUUGGAGUGUUAAGCUGAUUGAAUUUGAACAGUGCUACUCCAAUAACAUCAAUAUGGUUGAUGACCGCUCUAUCAAAUCCUUUGGAUAAAUGAAUUGACCGCUCUAAAAUAAAUGAAUGAGAUAGGAUAAAUUCGAAUAAAUUAAUCUGCAUAAUGACACAAGAAACAAAUAUAAAUUGACCGCAAGUAGAAAUAUACUUUUGUUAUAUUUAGAGCAUCUUCCAAUUUCUUUCCCUUGAGCUCUGUUUCUGCGAGUGCUCAAAAGCAAGACACAGGCCUCAAGAUAUAAUUAUCAUCAUCAAUCUUUUGCAGCCACAUGCAGUACUUGGAAAAUGUUUAUGGCCCUAAAUAACUGGAAAAUCAGAAAACAUUAAGAACAAGAGACUAAUCAUUUUAAUCGCAACAAAACAUGCACACUAUGAAAAUAUAAAAUUGAAUUACUUCGAAUGGAUGUGCCUCUUAACAGGAAUUGCACAAGCUAAUGAGCAAGUGAGCCUUCGAAUGAAAAUCUAAAUCCUUGCAGCCUGCGUCAUGCAGCUUCUCCCAAUGAGUAAGUGAACCUUGAACAGUUAUCACUCAGCUCAAACUAAAAUGAAAUUACUGUGGACAUGUGAAUUAAAAAUAGAUGUAAAAGUAGUUUUCUCAAAGCAAAGUCAAGAUAAGAGAUUAACUCUACUCCUUAUUUACAUUAAAAAUAACGAACAAUGGAAAACAGAGCUAGAGAAGAACUUACCUGUGCGUUGAGAUCAUGUGGGGAAUGUGAGAUAUCUUCUUAGAUUUGGUUUGGGAAACUCCAUCUUCUUCUGAAAGUUCUGACAGUUCCCUAAACCCAGGCCAAUACAAUUGCAACAGAAACUGCAUGCUUUAACCAGUAUCUGAUCAUCUCCUGUUAUUUCAAGACAAUAAUAACUUAAUUGCAACACUGCAUGCUUCAACCAAUAACCUUUUCGACUUCAACACUUCUUUUGUCCCCCACCCGAUGCCCUUUUCACAAUUCUAUGAAUCAGAUAAAUCAGCCUUCUUCACAAAACUAAAAUUUCGGUCCCCAUGUAGCAGAGUUUCUUAUUUUUCCUUUGUACACAAAUGCAGACACUUAAGCAAAUUAAGAUUUCUUACCUAAAGCAAAUUAGGAUUUCUUUUGAUCCUGCAAGUUACAAUUUCAGUCCCCAUGUAAUAGUAAAAAUUUGUACACAUAUUUAUAUAGCAAAUUAAUAUUUCAUACCUCACAAUAUUUAUCAUAACCAUCAAUCUUUAGAAACCACAUGCAGACUUGUUAAACUGUUUAUGGCCCAAAAUAACAGGAAAAUUAGAACAGAUUUUUAAGAAUGAGCGACUAAAUAUUUCAAUGGCAACUAAAAUUACACAUCUUGGAAAUCUGAAACUCAAGUACUCAGAACACUGUAAGUGCAUUGCAUAAUCUUGGGUAAAAAAUACACAGCAAUUAAACAAGCUGGGAACUUUAGUGCAAAUGCUUUUUCAUAAUCUUCAAUUGCAUAAGUCAGUUAGAAUCAAUCUUUCUUAAUCUUUCAAUUCACAUAUGAGAGCCUGAUAACACAAGGAAACACUGUAAGUGAAUUGUCAACUGUGACAAAUUUUGGGUAAAAAUUAUCAACUGUAGUUAUCUGCAUAACAUUUAGUGUCAACCCCAAAUUCCUUCCUGAUCCGUGGAAGCAUUUCAGCCCACAGACGGUUAGCUUUGUCAAUAUACGGCAACUCAGGAUUCUAUAUUUAAACUAUGAUGUUUGAUGACUUGCUGAUACAAAAGACAUUGCCCCAAGCACUUUUUUACAUUAGCUAAAAUCAAGCCAGUCACUUCCAUUUGUUGCAGUUUUAAUGCAGAAAGAAAAAAGGGGGAAAAAAAUCUGCAAGAUGCCACUUGUAAUACCGCAUGUUCGCAGGAGCAGAGUUAAAUAAUUACAAAAUUACAUUCUUUAUUGGCCACAAAGCUGCCUAGAAAAAGGCUUUAAAUUCUUAAUGAGACAACGUAUUCGAACAAAUAUGGUGAAUGAAGAGACAAAGGCAUAACACCUCGGGAAGUAAAGCUCUGUUUCUGUAUGUGCUCAAACCAAUGGAAACCCAUGGAAAUGAAUUUCUACGAAUUAGACAUGUCAGCCAAAACAGGUACUCUGUACAAGCAAAGUAAAAGAGAGUUACAAAAAAUUUUAAGAUAAUUAAACUUUUAGUCACCAUAUAAUUAAUAGAAAACUUUGUACACAAUGAUUUAUAUGAGAUUAAGAUUGUAUACCUAAGUUUUAAUUGCAAACUAAAUAUACACAACAUGAUAUUAGCAUUAGAAGACUGCACCAAAACGCACCGAAUUGAAUGUACCUCUUAACGGCCAUUGUACAUGCAUUGAAAGUUUACCGCAAAAGCUGUUUCAAACGUGAUGCAUCUUAGAGAUGCAAGAUGAGAAAUUGUUAUUACAACUAGCAUUGAAACAUGUGUGAAAACUGUUAAUGGACCUAAAUAACUUGAAAAUCAGAAAAGAUUAGGAAUGAGUGACUAAGCCUGCUAAUCGCAACUAAACGUGCAAACCUUGAAAAUCCAAAAUUGUACUCGAUGAAUGUGCAAUUGCUCAAGCAGGUAAAUUUCCUGCAAAGGCUCUUACAAACCCUCAAAGAUGAUACUCUACAUACCAUGGUAACCUGAGUAACAAAAAGAAACACAGUGAAUAUUAAAGGGCAUUCUGACAAUGCAAAUUUGUGUAAAUUAACAACUGCGGUUACCUGCAUAAUAGUGUCAAUACCGAAUUCCUUCCUCCAUGGAAGCAUGUGAUCAGCCCACAUGUGCUUUGCUCUGUAGCUUUUGAAUACCUGAAAUUGUUAUCACAACCAACGGUGAAAAAUGGGUGAAAAAAGGGUAAUAGUAGCAUAAUUGAAUUUGCUUAUAGAGGAUAAACCGAUCAAAGAAAAAAACAAGACAGAAAUGAUGAUCUUAGUACCUUAAUAUCAUGCAAUAAUAAUCAUCAUGCCUUCUAGGCAGCUAUCCAUCCUCAAUUGAAACAGAGCAGACCUGGCCAUCACUUUCUUCUUCAAAGUCCAGCAACUGAACGUUGCACACAACACCACAGUGGAAGUUCCAUCACCAGCCUAAUCCUUGAUUACCCCAAUGUUCUCCAUAGGGUCUUCAAAGUCAACCUAAAAAUAAAAUGAAAAUGCAAUGCAUUAUUAUUAGGGAUCUAGUGCUUGAGCUUGCUUUGACAUCAUGGUAUUAGCAAAUUCUGAUAUAGCCAAAAUGGUGAAUAAGAUGACGUACUUGAUAAGAAAAACCUGAUUUAACAAAUAAUUAAGGAGCCGGUAACAAUCACAGAAUCUCAUCAUGUGGGGAACGCCUUGGCAACAGAAGAUGGUGCUUUCAUUCAAGCAAUAGCAACUUUCCAAUUUCAUAAGGUAGUUUAAUGGCCCUUUUAAGAACAUCUGCACCAGCCUAAUAAUUAUUCAUGGAAAUUAAUAAUCAGAAUCAUGUUAGAUUGAGAGAUGAAACAUAAUAAGCGAUUUGGCCACCAUAUAUGCAUUUAUCACCUUCAAUUUGCUCAUCUUUGUCUAGAGUAUUGCUUCUGCAUUAACUUAAUUAGCUUGCAAGCCACCUGAACAUGGUUUUAAAUAAAGUGUAAGAGCUCGAAUUCGAACGAAUUAAUCAAAUAUGCUGACAGGAGAAACAAAAGUAAAUAACCACAAGAAGUAGAAAUAUACUUUUGUUAUAUUCAGAGCAUCUUCUUGCGUCAAGUUCUUUUCCUUUAGCUCUGUUUCUGUUUGUGCUCAAACGCAAUGGCUCAAGGGCCAAGAUAAUUUUAUGACCAUCAAUCUUUUUGCAGCCACAGCAGACUUGAAAAAAUGAUUGUGGCCCUAAGGAACUUGAAAAUUAGAAAAGAUUCAGAAUGAGUGACUAAAUAUUAUAAUUGAAACUAACUAAACAUUAUAAUCGAAACUAAUUAAACGCCUAGAAAAUCUGAAACUGAGCAAUUGCUUCUGGUGGAAACUUUACUGCAAGGACUUUCUCAAACCCUUGAAGAUCACACUCUACCUGAUAACAAAGAAACAGUCAAUAUACGAAGAUGAUUUUACUAACAAGUGAGUGCUUACACAUAUUGGAAGGAUAAUGAUGAUUCAUAACCCAAAUCCCCAAUACUCCCUAUUAUCUCACUCAAGUUCGAGCUCCCAGAAUUCACUACUGUGAAGCUCUCACAACAAAAUUCCCUUCAAAGAUUCUCUACUCAAAUUUGAUGAUGAUGUCCCUCCAAAGGAGGCAAAAAAUCUAACACUGAUCAAAUUGGUUUGUGAACAAUUAAUCUUCCUGGCCAUCAUGCAUACCAGGUGUGGUGAGCAAUCUUCAUUAUGACAUUUGCCUUAAUAAGCAGCUUAGUUUCCUUAACCUGAUAACUUACACAAACAAAAACAACUUGAUUAAAGUUUAAUAUUUAGAGGCAGAACAGUAAAGAAGAUGAUAUAUAUUGAUACUAAAAUUUGACCUGUGUUAUCCUGACGUCAAGAAUCACAGCAUCUCAUGUGGGCAGAAUCUUCGCAGUACAAUAUGCUUGCAAAAUUGAAGCAGCAUCUUAUCACCUGUAAUUUAAUUAAGACAAUAACUUUCCCCAACCAUUUCAAUGCAUUAUUGCCAACUAAAUUCAGAGGGUGCUAAUUAAAUAGCCUUUGAACAAUAUAUUCUUAUUCUUCUCCAAUCUAACAAUUAUUUCGAAAAUCUAAAUGACAAUCACGCAUCGAUGGCAUCAAAAUUUGGCUACAAAGCAGCCUGGAAAAGGCUUUACUCUCUGAAUGAGAGCAUGAAUUCGAAACAAAUAUGAUGAAUGAAGAAAAUAAGGCAUAAUACCACCAAAAGUAAAACUUUCUCCCAGGGCUCUAUGUUUCUGUUUGUGCUAAAACCAAUAGAAACCGAUGGAAAUGAAUUUCUAGGAAUUAGACAUAUCAGCGAAAACAGGUAUUCUGUACAAGCAAAGUAAAAUAGGGUUACCAAAAUUUUUAAGAUUGAUAUGAUACUUGAAAAAUAGGUUUGCACAGAAUUAAUUAUUCUGUCAUUGAGAUUGUUCUUUUAUAGAGAUUUCCAGCGCACAUAAAACUAUUAAAUCAGUAAACUAAAUCACUGAUUUAAGGAAAGAAUAAUUUCUAGGUAGAUUUUCCUAAAAUACAUAGAUUUGCACCUAAAUAGCUAUGUUACAGCUAAUGACUAAUUUACAGCACAUAUUUUUUCUAAUUUUCUAACACUCCCCCUCGAGCUGGUUUGAAGAUAUCCUCCAUAGCCAGCUUGCCAACUAGAAAAUUGAACUGUUUUGUGUGUAGUCCUUUGGUAAAGACAUCAGCCACUUGUUCUCCAGUAGGAAUGUGCUCCAUAUGAACCAAUCCAUUAUCUAUCUUCUCCUUGAUGAAAUGCUUGUCAAUCUCCACAUGUUUUGUGCGGUCAUGAAGGACUGGAUUGUGUGCUAUUGAGAUUGCUGCCUUGUUGUCACAGUACAACUACAUAGGAGAUGAUUUUGUCGCUUUUAACUCUUCCAACAGCCUCCUAAUCCACAUGAUCUCACAAAUGCCAUGGGUUACAGCUCUAAAUUCAGCCUCAGCACUGCUCCUAGCUACCACAUUCUGUUUCUUGCUUCUCCAAGUAACCAAAUUACCACCUACAAAUGAACAGUAUCCAGAAGUGGAUCUUCGGUCUACUUUGCAGGUAAAUUUACUGCAAAGGCUCUUACAAGCCCUCAAAGAUGAUAUUCUACAUACCAUGGUAACCUGACUAACAAAAAGAAACACAGUGAAUAUUAAAGGGCAUUCUGACAAUGCAAAUUUGUGCAAAUUAACAACUGCGGUUACCUGCAUAAUAGUGUCAAUACCGAGUUCCUUCCUCCAUGGAAGCAUAUGAUCAGCCCACAUGUGCUUUGCUCUGUAGCUUUUGAGUACCUGAAAUUGUUAUUACAACCAGCGGUGAAAAUUGGGUGAAAAAAUGGUAAUAUUAGCAUAAUUGAAUUUGCUUAUAGAGGAUAAACCGAUCAAAGAAAACGACAAGAUAGAAAUGAUUAUCUUAGUACCUUAAUAUCAUGCAAUAAAAAUCAUCAUGCCUUCCAGGCAGCUAUCCAUCCUCAAUUGAAACAGAGCAGACCUGGCCAUCACUUUCUUCUUCAAAGUCCAGCAACUGAACGUUGCACACAACACCACAGUGGAAGUAGUUCCAUCACCAGCCUAAUCCUUGAUUACCCCAAUGUUCUCCAUAGGGUCUUCAAAGUCAACCUAAAAAUAAAAUGAAAAUGCAAUGCAUUAUUAUUAGGGAUCUAGUGCUUGAGCUUGCUUUGACAUCAUGGUAUUAGCAAAUUCUGAUAUAGCCAAAAUGGUGAAUAAGAUGAUGUACUUGAUAAGAAAAACCUGAUUUAACAAAUAAUUAAGAAGCCGGUAACAAUCACAUAAUCUCAUCAUGUGGGGAAUGCCUUGGCAACAGAAGAUGGUGCUUUCAUUCAAGCAAUAGCAACUUUCCAAUUUCAUAAGGUAGUUUAAUGGCCCUUUUAAGAACAUCUGUACCAGCCUAACAAUUAUUCAUGGAAAUUAAAAUUCAGAAUCAUAUUAGAUUGAGAGAUGAAAUAUAAUAAGCGAUUUGGCCACCAUAUAUGCAUUUAUCACCUUCAAUUUGCUCAUCUUUGUCUGGAGUAUUGCUUCUGCAUUAACUUAAUUAGCUUGCAAGCCACCUACAAAUGGUUUUAAAUAAUGUGUGAGAGUGUGAAUUCGAACGAAUUAAUCAAAUAUGCUGACAGGAGAAACAAAAGUAAAUAACCACAAGAAGUAGAAAUAUACUUUUGUUAUAUUCAGAGCAUCUUCUUGCGUCAAGUUCUUUUCCUUUAGCUCUGUUUCUGUUUGUGCUCAAACGGAAUGGCUCAAGGGUCAAGAUAAUUUUAUGACCAUCAAUCUUUUUGCAGCCACAUGCAGACUUGAAAAACUGGUCGUGGCACUAAGGAACUUGAAAAUUAGAAAAGAUUCAGAAUGAGUGACUAAAUAUUAUAAUCGAAACUAAUUAAACAUACACGCCUAGAAAAUCUGAAACUGAACUUCUCAAAUGUAUAUGCCUCUUCGCAGCAAUUGCUUGUGGUGGAAACUUUACCGCAAGGACUUUCUCAAACCCUUGAAGAUCACACUCUACCUGAUAACAAAGAAACAUAGUCAAUAUACGAAGAUGAUUUUACUAACAAGUGAGUGCUUACACAUAUUGGAAGGAUAAUGAUUACUCAUAACCCAAAUCCCCAACACUCCCUAAUAUCUCACUCAAGUGAGUACGAGCUCCCAGAAUUCACUACUGUGAAACUCUUACAACAAAAUUCCCUUUAAAGAUUCUCUACUCAAAUUUGAUGAUGAUGUCCCUCGAAAGGAGGCAAAAAAUCUAACACUGAUCAAAUUGGCUUGUGAACAAUUAAUCUUCCUGGCGAUCAUGCAUACCAGGUGUGGUGAGCAAUCUUCAUUCUGACAUUUGCCUUAAUAAGCGGCUUAGUAUCCUUAACCUGAUAACUUACACAAACAAAAACAACUUGAUUAAAGUAUAAUAUUUAGAGGCAGAACAGUAAAGAAGAUGAUAUAUAUUGGUACUAAAAUUUGACCUGUGUUAUCCUGACGUCAAGAAUCACAGCAUCUCAUGUGGGCAGAAUAUUCGCAGUACAAGAUGCUUGCAAAAUUGAAGCAGCAUCUUAUCACCUGUAAUUUAAUUAAGACAAUAACUUUCCCCAACCAUUUCAAUGCAUUAUUGGCAACUAAAUUCAGAGGGUGCUAAUUAAAUAGCCUUUGAACAAUAUAUUCUAAUUCUUCUCCAAUCUAACAAUUAUUUGGAAAAUCUGAAUGACAAUCAUGCAUCGACGACAUCAAAAUUUGGCUACAAAGCAGCCUGGAAAAGGCUUUACUCUCUGAAUGAGAGCAUGAAUUCGAAACAAAUAUCAUGAAUGAAGAAACAAAGGCAUAAUACCACAAAAAGUAAAACUUUUCCCAGGGCUAUCUGUUUCUGUUUGAACUAAAACCAAUGGAAACCGAUGGAAAUGAAUUUCUAGGAAUUAGACAUAUCAGCCAAAACAGGUACUCUGUACAAGCAAAGUAAAAUAGGGUUACAAAAAAUUUUAAGAUUGAUAUGAUAAUUAAAAUUUCAGUCACCAUAUAAUUAAUAGAAAACUUUGGACACAAUGAUUUAUUGCAUAUUAAGAUUGCUAUAUAAAAUAUAAUAUUAGCAUUAGGAGACCGCACCGAAGCAUACCGAAUUGAAUGUGCCUUUUCACAGCCAUUUUACAAGCUUUGAAGCUUCACCACAAAUGCUUUUUCCAACCCGUGAACAUGGUGCACCCGAGAGAUGCAAGCUAUGAAAUUGUUACUACAGCAAGCGUUGGAACAUUUGUUAAAAAAGGAAGUUUAUGAAAAUACGCCUUUGGAUACCAGUCUUCAGGAAUCAAUUCAUCCGUAAUAACAAUUUUCAAGAAUUAUCAACUGCUUUAAGCUCAUCGACAUCACAAAGAUCUCAACUAAAAUAGAGCAGAUCCGGCCAUCACUAUCCCUUCUACUGCUCUUUUCCUUUAGAGAAUGAUUGAAUUACAGAAUGCGUGUAAGGCAUUCUUAUUCAAGGUCCAAUGAUCAAACCUUGCACUAUAACAACAGAGGUAGUAGUUUCUUCGCCAGCCUAAUCCUUGGUCUCAGGAAUGUCCUCAACAGAGUACUCGAAAUCAACCUAAAAAUUAAGAAUGAGUUGGAAAACUGUUUAUGGCCCUAAAGAACUUGAAAAUAAGAAAAGAUUAAGAAUGAGUGACUAAACAUUUAAUCGCAACUAAACAUACAAACCUUGAAAAUCUAACUUUGAAGUACUCUUGAAUGAAUGAGCAGUUGCACGAGCUGGUGACAACUAAGGUUACUGUGAAGUCUCUUACAAAUCCUUAAAGAUGAUACUUUACAUACCACGAUAACCUGAUAACACAUAGGAACACAAUAAACAUUAAAGUGUAUUCUGACAAUGCAAAUUUGUGGAAAUCAUCAGCUGUGGUUACCUGGACAAUAUUGCCAACACCAAACUCCUUCCUCAAUUGAAACAUAUGAUCAGCCCACAAAUGCUUUGCUUUGUAGCUUUUGAGAGCCUGAAAUUGUUAUCACAACCAACAAUGAAAAUUGGGUGAAAAAAUUGAUAAUAUUAGCUUAAUUCCAUAUGUUUAUAUAGGAUAAACCGAUCAAAGAAUGAAAAAAGAUAGAAACAGAGCAGACCCAGCCAUCACUUUCUUCUUCAAAGUCGCACCAUAACCACAGUGGUAGUCGUUCCACUGCCAGCCUAAUCCUUGGUCACCCCAAUGUUCUCCAUGAAGUAUUCAAAGUCAACCUAAAAAUAAAUAAAAAUGCAAUGCAGGUGGAAAUGAAAAUUCUAUAAAUUAAAUAAAAUAAAAAUGCAAUGCUUGAGCUUGAGCUUGCUUUAGCAUCAUCGUAAUAGUAAAUUUUGAUAUAUCUUUACUUCUCUGUUCUUGUUUAUUCACAACAAGAUAUCAAUAGAAGAAGAUGGAAAUGAAAUUCUAUAAAAUAAAGCAAGUGAAUUACCAACAGAACAUUUUAGCAAUCCUUUGGCUAAACUUUUCAUUUUCUUAGCAUACUCUCCUGCCUGGUGAACAUAAUUAAACAAGUAUGAAAUAAAACAAAGUGGGCUAAUGUAGUAAAAACAAUAACACAAUUACUUUAAAGAAUUAAUGUCACGUAUAUUAUAUAUAAAAAAAUACGAUUAUCAUUAUAUAAGAUAAAAUUGAUAAUUUAGUUUUCAACAUUACUGCAAACGUAUCACAGAGAUUUUGUUACACAUAACAAAUUUUCGUACAUAUGAAAAUAAAUUACAUUGCAUGAAAUUUUACAAAAGAGCACAUAUUUUUUAAAAGUAAAUAAAUAUAGAAAUUUCAACAGACUACACUUGUAUUUUUUUUUAAUUAUUUAAUCUUUAGAAAACAAGUUUAACAGAUUUGAUAACUAGGAAGUUUUACGUAUUUAUACCAUGAUUGAUUCUAUAUAGAAUUUUAAUUCAAAAUAUAAUUAUUUUUAUUAAUUUCAUUGCAAGCAACAACGAAGUAAAUUAGAGGAGGAGGAGAAAUUACCGGCGAGUGAUAAAUUACCGCGACCACUUGAUGUGGGGAAUGCGAGAUAUCUUAUGCCAGUCUUCUCCUUUCCCCUCUCUAUAACGGUUUUCCAGAAGAGGACAUCUGUCAAUAGUCAAUUCCUGCAGCGUCGUCGUCCGAAGAAGGUAAUCCGGCAGCACCUUUAAUUUGGGGCAAUACUCAAUUACCAAGGAAGAAAGACGUGG
RNAcentral lists this long non-coding RNA (16027 nucleotides) under Citrus maxima (pomelo). RNAcentral's name for it is "long non-coding RNA (CMAX_LNC003743)". Lineage: Eukaryota; Viridiplantae; Streptophyta; Magnoliopsida; Sapindales; Rutaceae. The record is from RNAcentral.